GGCAAAAUUCUUCUUAGGUCUUGA
RNAcentral lists this non-coding RNA (24 nucleotides) under Arabidopsis thaliana (thale cress). The record is from RNAcentral. Lineage: Eukaryota; Viridiplantae; Streptophyta; Magnoliopsida; Brassicales; Brassicaceae.